CAUACUCCUCACUCCAUCAAGCCUCAUUUGAGUCAUUUCCCAGCAAAUUAAACCAAGUAAAAGUAUCCCCUUUAAACCCCACAUUCCUCUCUGUUUCUACGCACCACCACCGUAACACCGCCUCCUCUGCAACCUACUUCCACCACAUGAAUGACUUGCUCCCACUCUCGAUCACCAUGUACGACCACUAACCUCCGAUAUCAAGCUUUAAUUAUAGCAUUCCGUUGUCGAACCCGAAACCCGAACUCACUCCUCCCAUCUCUUCUGGAGUACGACCACCAAACGUUGCUACACGGACCAUCGCCGUUCUGCCUCCCUUACUUCUGACCACAUGACCUCCACCUUAGAACUACCUUUGUACCGCCUCUCGCAAGUCCUAAUUCCUAAACUACCUCCCUCAUUUUUCUGUUCGUGGUGGUUAGAAAAGACCAACGUUGGUCUCUGGAUUCUCCAAUUUGGAAACAUGUGCACCUAAAUCCUAAAAAGUCAACUCUUGUGGGCCUUACUAACUAAUAAGACAUAACGUUAUAAAUGGUAUUCGGAGCUCGGAAGAACGGUCCAUCAAACGGGAAGUAUAAAACUACGGUUGAGGUACAAAGAAGAUCAUGGGAUGCCUUAGAGUGAGGAUGCAACCAUCAAAUUCACGAUCGUUCUUUAGUAAAGAUAACUAUGUCUCACUAGUAAUAAUGGAUGUAUUAAUUAAACUCUAGUUUAAUUGCAAGAAAUGAGUUAGACUUUUAUAUUAAUAUUUAAUCAAUGUUAGGAGUAUGUAUUAUUAAAGUUUAUUUAGUAACUUAAGAAGUAUUUUGUCGCCUUGUAUUCCCGCGAGGGAGAUAUGGCAUGCGACGCUCCGACUAAAUUAGGAUUUCCGCUGCUAAUUAAACAUAAUUAACCUAAUUAAUGGUGUUUAGAAGUCGGGGCGUUACAACAUGUACUCCCUCCGUCCCGGAAUACUCGACCCGGUUUGACCGGCACAGAGUUUAAGGGACUUGAAUUGACUUAUUUAAUUUAAUAGGUAGUAGUUGAUAGUGGGAUAUUAUUUUAAUAUAGUUAGUGGGAAAUGUGUAAAGGAGUGGGGUUGGGGGAGAGUAAGGGUUGAAUUUUUAAUUAUUUUUUGUAUGGAGUAGGGAGUAGGUGGGUUAAUAGGGGUAGAGUGAGAAAUAAUAUAAUAUUGUUAGAAUAUUUCCAUUUUUAGAAACAGGUCAAGUAUUAAUGGACGACCCGAUAAGGAAACAGGUCACGUAUUCCGGGACGGAGGGAGUAAUAAUUUAAUCAUGAAAAUCCCUAAUUUCCAAUCACAAGCACUCAAACCAAUCAAUGUUGAGUUUUCACCAAACCCUAAUCAAUAAACUACUCAAUCAACAUAAACACAAAAUUUAUAGAAAUUAACAACUAAAAACAUGGUUCUAAACAAUAAUAAGAACUAAUCUAAAUAUGAAUCAUUAAGCUAAACAAAAAAAAAUUGAACUAAUUAAAACAAUAAAUGAAAACAAUAAAUAAGGAGAUAGAGUAAGAAAUUGUUCAUUGAUUAAUUGGUUGAUCCUUCCAUACAAGUUGUCACCCUUGAAUUUCAAAAGCCCAAUUUUUCAUUGAUUUUCCCUCACUUUCUCUCACCAAAAACUAAUCUUAUACCCUGAACCCUAAGAAAAAGACUAAUUAUGUACGGAGUACAUUUUUUUUUUGAAAGAUAAGUUUUUUUUUUUUUUUUUAAUAGGAAAGAUCGUAGAUUUCAAUUCUACGACAAGAAAAUCGGGUACCCAAGUGGGUGACUAAUUAUGUACAUUGUAAGUUUUUUUAACCCAAAUUUUGGUAUUUAUACUAAGGCCUAAAAAAAAGGAAAAAUAAAUAAAGAGAAAAGAAAAUAAAUAAAGGAAAUUAAAACAAAAGAAAAGAAAAGAAAAGAAAAAGAAAAAGAAAAAGCUAAACUAAAGUACUGUAAAACUAAUUAAAAGAAGAAAAGAAGAAAUAAAAAAAUAAAAAGAAAAAGGAAAAGCCUUAAAGCAACUCUAAUGGUUACAAAAUGGACCUGCUCACAAAAAAAUGAAUAUGUGAGCAGGUAGCCCACCAUUGGUACAACAAUGACAUAAACAACUCAAAAAAUCUUGUAGCUAUUUUGGGCUACGUAGCUCAAAAAUAAUAUAGCUCAAAAAAAUAAAUUAUUUAAAAUAAAUAUUAUAGGGAGCUACAAAGUAUUAUAGCCCACCAAUAUGAUAAAUUAUAGUUUUAAUCAAUUAUAGUUAAAAAUUUAAUGUGGCAAAUUUAGCCACAACAUAUUGUAACUCACCAUUUGACAAAUGCUCUUAAACAAUGAGAACCUCACAAAAUCAAAAUGUAUCCGACAUUUUGAACCAGAACCCCCUUUUGUUGUUUUGUCUUUUUUCGCCCCCUUUCCCCUUCGUCCAUUUUCGUCCAAAUUAAUUGGGGUUUUCUUGCUCCCUGCUUCACUGCGCCUCAUCUCCUCAAUCAUCAUCCUCGUCCGUCAUCAUCUAUCAAUCAUCAACCGUUCAUCAGCUUCCAUCAUCAAUCAUCACAAUCAAUCAUAGGCUUCCGAUUUCCAAUCACCCAACCCCAAUUCGAAGAACAAACAAUCACAACCUUUCACUCUUCAAUCAAAUCGCAGCCUUCAAAUGGAGUUGUACGGCGAAAAAUCGAGGGCACCAACAAUGAACCACCAAGGCAAGCACGUGACCUUCAUUAAUUCCGUACAAGAACUCGACCGCCCAAAUGUUCGGACGAACUGAUAGUAGGUCCGGUCGAACUUAGUGGUGGUUUGGGCGAACUUCAUUCAGCUGGUGUUGUGCAUGGUUGUGUUGGAUGGCGGCGGUGAUAACAGUAUUGUUGGUGUUGCUUGGUGAUGCGUGGUAGGUUGCGAUGAAUGUACGGUGGAGAUUGGUGUUGGAGGAGCAGCGGCUGGGCAGCGUUGAGAGAUGAGAGCUGCUCCGCGGUGGCUAUUGUGUGGUUGAAAGAUGAUGGGCGCUGCAGUACUUUGUUUGUGUGGCGAGUAGUAGAGAAAGGAAGAAGAGUUGGGUGGUGGUGAUGGAUAAGACAAGAGUGGUGGUGUAGGCUAAGCUAUGCAAUGUUGCACCAUUCUUGGCAGCAGUUUGGCCCAAGUUUUGAGGCCCACAAGCCACGAAGUCCAUAAUCCAAUUCUUUAGUGAAGAAAUUACUUCUCUCAUGCGUGAUUCAAUUUCUUUUCCCUGUUAUUGAAAUAUGGUGCUAAUUAUCACUUAUCAUCAGGUUGUGUGAAGGUGGAGAGUUGCUGGAUCGAAUAUUAUCUAAGUAAACAAUGUUCUAUUCAGCCGCGUUUUCAUGAUGUUAUUUCCAGAAGCGUUAAUGUCAAAUUUUUGUUACAUAAAUGUUCUAAUGUUAAUUGCUUUUGUUAUCCAAAUCAGAAAGGAUAGCUGGUAUUAAGAGAAAGACGCAGCAGUGGUGGUGCGUCAGAUGUUGAAAGUCGCUGCUCAGUGUCACUUACAUGGUUUGGUUCACCGUGAUAUGAAACCUGAGAAUUUUCUUUUCAAGUCGCCUAAAAAGGAUUCAUCUUUAAAGGCCACAGAUUUUGGACUAUCAGGUUUCAUAAAACCUGGAGAGUAGAAAAAAUUAACAUCAAUUUUGGAUAAUUAGUUCUCUUAAGCCUAGUUCUGGAGGAUCCUAUGGUUCAUCCUUUAUGAGUGUUAUCCAUUUAAAGGGAGAAAAUUCAUAGAUAUUGUUGGUAGUGCCUACUAUGUGGCUCCAGAAGUACUAAAACGAAAAUCAAGUCCAGUGUCCGAUGUUCGGAGUAUUGGUGUCAUCACCUAUAUAUUACUUUGUGGCAGACGCCCAUUUUGGGAUAAAACUGAAGGUGGUGUUUAAGGAGGAAAGAUUUAAAGUUGAGACGGCUCAGUAGUACAAGCUCGCUACUGGCAGGUAUUUGGAGUCUUCAUUUUAAACAGAGGAAGAAUAUUUGAACUCUCAAGGGAUGUCUCCAACGUUGGCAACAAUACCAGUGCUGAUAGGUCUUUACAGAGCCCUUUCAUAUGUUGCUAAUGAGAAUCUUUUCCAUGGUUGCUUAACUAGACAUGUCUCCUACUGCUCAAACAACAGUGUUAAGAUCCAUCAGAGUUCAAUGCGCACAGAAAUUUCUCACACGAAAUGCUCCAUAUUGAGUUAAACUUCAAAUUUGAAGUAAUUGUCAAUAUACCACACAGCUCUAAGCAACACAGAGAGAAAGACCUAUAUUCUUAACUACUGAGCCAUCCAUAUCUGUGGUUAAAUAAAAACCAACUUUUGCUGCUACAAGGUAGCAUGGUUAACUCUGAAAUUUCAUGAUAGAAGAAAUGCUUUUUCGCCCUCGUUUACGACUAAAAUAGUGUACAAUGUUGAAGUUUUCUUCUAUUUUGCAUAGUUGUUUAUUUUAGUGAUUUAGUUCAUUCAUUUUAAAGCUCUCCAGUAAAUUAUAAAUUGAUUACUCAGAAUACUACACUGCUACGCACCAUUUAAAUCCACUGUUUCCCACGUUUACCAUUCUCUCGCAUAUUUGAAAAGGACGUAUACUAGACUCUCUCUAAGAAUUACUUAGAGAAUCAAUUUUAGUGGACAAUGAGCCAAAUGAACAACAAUUUGAGGUCAUUAAAAUAAGCUUGCUUACAUCGUCAAAAUCUAUAAGUAAUACAAUAAGACCUAAAGUAAAAAAAAAAAAAAAAAAUAACACAAAACAGACACAUCUUGAUUCAACUAUUUGCAUAAGAUAAUCAUAAAUGUAACUAUAGUGUGCUAUGCAUAAAUGAAUGAACUCAUUUUGAGCUCAUAUAAAUGGUAAACGUGCAGGAUACUCACAGUGCAGGAUACUCAAAGAGGUUGAUGAAGAACUUUCUGAGAUUAUCAACUAAUUCAGGUGUGGCGUCAGCAACUAUUCUCAUAACUUUGUAGCUAAUCUGAGGAAACGAAAAAAAAAAAAAAAAAAAUUAGCAUUUCAAACAAUUUAGUUGCUUCAGUAAAAAAAAAUGAUGGUUAAAUUACAUUUAUCAAAUUGGAUAGAACAGUAUAUUCGGUUUCCUCUCUGAAUGAUGCAAUCAAAGUCAACAAAUUUAUCAGAGAUUGCUGACCACUGGUACACAGGGCAAACAAAUCAUCCAGAACACCUGUUGGUAAGAAGUUUAAUGUCAAACAAUUACAGAACUAUUUAUAUAAUAGAAAUGACACAAUAAAGCCUGCACAAACAAACUUACCAAAUCUAUCAGUUGCAGACAAUUGGCCACUCUCUAUAGCAUGUCGAAGUUUAGCUCCAAGUUCUUCAUCAUAUUUCACUCUAUAAAACCCAGUCUGGUCCACAUUAAGCUUAACAUAAGCAGCAUCUUUGAUACCAAGACUUCCAGACUUCUCUUUCAGGAGAUAACUGUAACGGUUAUCGUAGGAUCCGCAACAUAAAGUGAUUGGGACAAUCCAUUGGCUAUCACUAGGGGAACCGCUCAACAAAAAGUGUGACUGUCAUCAAUUACACAAUGUUAGAUCUAGAAGUUAUAUAAGACAUUAACAAGGAAAAGUCCAAGUGGUUGGUAAUUAAUUAAUUUCUUGUAGUGGUAGCGCACUAGACCGAAAGUAAAAAAAAUUACGAAGUAUAAAUUAAGCGCAUUGCACCUGUUCUAAAUCGAGCUUCUCGUCUUUGACCCUCACGGAAACAACCGGAUAUCCUUUCUGCUGUGUCCAUGAAUUCAUUAGUUCCUUUACUGGUUCACCAGAUACCUCCUCAAGAACAGCCCAUAGGUCUUCAGUCUUUGCAUUUGAGCAAGCAUAUUUCUUUAUGUAGCGUGCCAGAGCUCUCUG
Spinacia oleracea (spinach) is the source of this 5799-nucleotide long non-coding RNA. RefSeq lists it as uncharacterized. NCBI's taxonomy places the organism in Eukaryota, Viridiplantae, Streptophyta, Magnoliopsida, Caryophyllales, Amaranthaceae. The transcript is spliced from 9 exons. The record is from RefSeq and is a predicted model, not a curated record.